UGGGGAAUAUUGCGCAAUGGGCGAAAGCCUGACGCAGCGACGCCGCGUGAGGGAUGAAGGUUUUCGGAUCGUAAACCUCUGUCAGAAGGGAAGAAACCGCACUGUGCUAAUCAGCAGUGCCUUGACGGUACCUUCAAAGGAAGCACCGGCUAACUCCGUGCCAGCAGCCGCGGUAAUACGGAGGGUGCAAGCGUUAAUCGGAAUUACUGGGCGUAAAGCGCACGUAGGCUGCUUUGUAAGUCAGGGGUGAAAUCCCACGGCUCAACCGUGGAACUGCCUUUGAUACUGCUUAGCUUGAAUCCGGGAGAGGGUGGCGGAAUUCCAGGUGUAGGAGUGAAAUCAGUAGAUAUCUGGAGGAACAUCAGUGGCGAAGGCGGCCACCUGGACCGGUAUUGACGCUGAGGUGCGAAAGCGUGGGGAGCAAACAGG
This 429-nucleotide ribosomal RNA is filed under the name Fusobacteriota bacterium. Its description in RNAcentral is "Fusobacteria bacterium partial 16S ribosomal RNA". It matches the Rfam family "Bacterial small subunit ribosomal RNA", at positions 355 to 776 of the family's 1533-position model. Lineage: Bacteria; Fusobacteriati; Fusobacteriota. The record is from RNAcentral.